This 263-nucleotide long non-coding RNA is filed under the name Lepisosteus oculatus (spotted gar). RNAcentral describes it as "lncRNA (ENSLOCG00000021335.1)". The record is from RNAcentral. Lineage: Eukaryota; Metazoa; Chordata; Actinopteri; Semionotiformes; Lepisosteidae.
CGACAUGACAGAGUGCUCUCUCCACUUCUUCCACUAGAUCAGAGCAUUGGGGAAACUAGAAAUGAGAUGCACGUGGUCCUUCUCCUUGACAGGCACAGCAGGAACAGUGCCUGUCUGCACCGCAGAGCUGCCUGAUUAAUGGUAGCAGUUAUUGAAAGAGCGCCAGACCAAGAGUGAAGUAAAUGCAGACAACUGAUUUGUUAAAAGACCUUAUGAGGUCUGGAGGUUAAAUACUUAUUUGGAAGGAUCAAGAUACAGUCAAA